This is a long non-coding RNA of Pogoniulus pusillus (Red-fronted tinkerbird), 1790 nucleotides long. RefSeq lists it as uncharacterized. The transcript is spliced from 6 exons. The record is from RefSeq and is a predicted model, not a curated record. Lineage: Eukaryota; Metazoa; Chordata; Aves; Piciformes; Lybiidae.
AUUUGCUUUUGAUCCUGCUUUGGAGUUGUUCUCUGGAUUUGCUCAGUUGUUGCUUUGCUUUUCCCUGGAAUGUCCGUGGGAUGUUCUGCUGUUGCUGCUCCUGCUUGCUUGGCCCCGGUGCUGUGGAGUUGAUCGGUAUGGGUGAGGUCUUUGUCCUGCCUCUGUUGUGUCGGCAUUCAGCUCAGCUCCGCUCCUCUCUUGGAGCUGCCCUGCUCUUGGAGCUCCCUACAGGCAAGUGCACCUUUACUGUGUGAGUUGGUUUACAGAACUUGCUGCAUUCCUUCUGGAUUCUGCUCACGGGAUGAAAAGAUGGAAAAGUGUGCACGAAGCAGUCAUUAAACAAACAGCCCCUUUCAUCCUUUGGAGCUCUUCUGAUGCAUCAAUGGGCAGUGGGAUGGAUGGCCAAAGCCUGCAGAAAGCCAAGAGCUGAUUAUUUCUACCUGAGAAUGAGACCCUAGCCUCUGAGUCCCAGGAGAGAUUUUUGAGACAACCCUCUCAUCCUUGUAAGGCUGUAAGUGUAGCAAGGAGAAUUGAUCCCUUCAUCUUGCAGCUUUAACAUGGCCACUACCAAGAGCUCUGCAAAUACUUGAGACAAAACUGACCUUUGGGCUUGGAAAAGCCCAGGGAUUCUGGACUUCCUUAAGUGUGGAAAACAAAUGUGUAAGAAAAGUCAGCAUUGGGUUUAUAGCUGAGUCUGUCACUGCAGCCUUUUAAAGACCGUGUUGGAAGAAACCCAGCCAAAAAGGCUGGUGUCAAGGAAGCAAGAGCUAGAGCUCUGUACUGAAGGACAGCAUUGCUUAGUUUUGUGGGUUUGCUAAAAAAAUCAAGCACUUUAUGACCUAAGACUUGGAAGCAGCAGGAAACAGAUGCAAGAGAAGUCUGUAUUGUACAGUGAGAGAGCCUCUGUACCUCCCCAGCAUAAACUGCCUCCUGACUCAUGGGAUCUGCUUCCUUCAGCCUCGUUCCUUGCUGGUUCAGAAGAUCCAGUUUCAGCCACAGGUGCUGAAACAUCUCGGUAAAGCUCAGAGUGGGGUGAGAAGCAGGAAGCCACCACCGAAGUGGACAUGAGUCCCUGUUUUAGCACUGCUUUGCACAAGAGGAAAAUCCCAGGAGGAGUCCAUGGCUAUUUGAGAGUUUGCAGCCAUUGUAGCCAAAAAGAGAUUGACCCCAGAUGUAUCCUGAAGUGCUGUGAAGAUCGAUGCACAACUGUCAUCCUUGUAGGACCCUGCAGAUGGAGCAGAGAAAUAAAAUGCAUGCUCAGUCGUCAUUCACUCAUUCCCUUGAUCACCUCUCCUAAAGAGGUGGCCUGAGUGUCACGAGAGAGAGGACAUCCUGACUCAACCCAGCCUGGCCAUAAAAGUACCAGGUGAUCCUGCUUUGUCAAGAUGGAGUUGAACUUGAUGCUCUCUGGAGGUCCCUUCCAACCCCUAAUGGUCUGUGACUAUAAGACAGAUGCCAGACUGUGCUGGAAGUGCAGAGAAUUCCCUGCUUCCAUGAAAAGCAGCAGGUAGGUGCUGCCUACCCUGUACUCACCAUUCAGUGAUGGUUUCUUCUGGGUGCUGUUGCCCGGAUGGAGUAAUGCUGGCUUGCUAGCACCUCACACUAGAGAUCUAUAUUCUGCCAUUUACUUCAAUCUAAGACUUUCUGUUUGUCUGACUUGACAGCAUUUGAACUCUUAAAUGUUUUUCAAGAAAAGAAUUAUAAUUCAUACCUGCCUGCAGUGAAAACUUGAGGUAUGGAACUUCUGAAUUAAAGUCUCCUUAGCAGCCUGUGUCCUCUGUAUUGAUCAU